UGUUUAGCACCGAGCUUCUAAGCCUUCUCGUAGAUACUGCUGCUGCUGAUGUCCUGUUUCUCCAUGAUAAUUCGAAAACAGACGUUCCAUUGUACAACUUGUGUCCACUGUGAGCAAGGUUCCUCACUCUUCUCCUCCUUAAGGAUCUUCUCCUCUUCUGGAUACUGUGAAACCCUAAAUUGCCUCUAUACUGAGCAUUAGAGCCUCUCCUCGGAUUACAAGGUGGAGAUGAAACUAACUCAGACUCUGAAUCAGUUUCUUCAACAACUGGAUUGUUUAGCAAAUAAAGAGAUCUCCUCACGAAAGCAAAGGAGCGUUGCGCAUCUCUGAGAAACAGAGUCAAAUGCAUAUCCAUGAAAAAUCGAGGAAUGGCAGCAAAAUCAGCUGACAAGAGAGGAAGACAAUCCACGCCCCCAAAGAACUUGCAUACACCCCUUGAGCUAAGGGAAGUAGGCUCCUGAAACAUUAAAGAUCCUAACUUUAUAUCAUCACUACCAACAUAAACACUAAAGAUCCUAACUUUAUAUCAACAUGCUAUUAACUUAGUUACUUACCUCAAGAAACCUCACGCCAUGAUCUGCAAAGUCGUCGUUGAUAGGUUGAGAUAAGAAGAAAGACGCAAGCGUACGCAAGCUCAGCUCUUCCCUCCUCAAGUACCUCAUCACCAAACCAAAAACAGUCGACAACCAGCAAUCCCCACAAGACCAAUCUACUGUAAGAGCAAUCACAGGACCACAAAGUCGUCUUGUCCGCCUGCGAUAAAACUUGAGGUCUGAACUACCACCACUUGAUUGGUCACAAAGUCUCUUCCUUUUUCUAUUAUAUACAAUCCCAAACUUAGUAUCAACACUCUUCCCAUCUCCGACAGCUUCAGUUCUCACUCUCCUCCGUUUCACGACGGUAAAGUCUUCUCCUUUGUCGUGUUGUUGCUUCUCAGCGAAGACUUUGCCCCCUUUGCAGUCCCAAUCUGGAUCCACAGCGUCAUGGGCCCGCUUGGCCUUGGGCUCGUCGUUAUUGGGCCAAAUCCGGCGACCCGAGCGGAGGACCCGAGCUCCGUCCGCGGCUUUAACCACCCCGAAUACCCUCGUGGUGCGUCUCAUACCCACUGAAGGCAUCUAAACGACAGCGUUUCACUCAAAUAGGCUCUGACUUGUUGUUACUCGGUCGAUCUAUCUUCUCGGAGGACCCCGAAUCCGAUUUCGAAUCGAGUAGAUCUACGGAGAUCGAAGAAAGUUUGAGAAACUCGAUCGAGAUCUGUUCAUGGGUCGUUGAUUCAAGAAUCAAGUAGACAUGGUGGAGAGAUGAGGAAGUUUUGAGAAGUUUCUCGUUUGGAGAAGGAAGAGAGGGAACUGAGGAGGCUGCUAUCUAGGGUUUAUGAUCGAAGGAGAUUAUCAUUUCGAGGGGUAGAUUGGGUCGUGGCCGUUGGAUGAUUGAAACGACGGUUCGGAUUGAUUCGGCUUCGGUGGGUCCCGGAAGGCUAUAUUUAUUUGUUUUUUGCAUACGUAGGCGGCGUAUUUUUUGGGUUUACACGAAUAUCUAAAACAAUUGAAUUUAAAACGGAGUGGGCCGAAAAUUUCAAAAGGCAAGAUGUUAAUUGACAGAACUACCCUUGUCUUUAAAGCGGAAGGUGUCGGAACUACACUUGUUUAAGACGACACUGAGAUGUGAGAAGAAGAGGAGGAUUACAAGACCAAACACAAUGUCUAUUUUAAAAAGCAAAAGGGUUGUUUAGAGAUUAGAUUUAUUGACUUUGUAUUACAUAUGAUUUCUAUUUUAUUUGGGAAUCUCUGCUAAAACAGAGUUAUUAUAACAUGUAGGAUGCUUUUAUUGCUUGUUAUAUUUAGGCCUUGGCGGUUUCAGCCUCAUCAGCUCCCCAGAAACUUGUUUUCUUUCCUGUCUUUGAGACUGUCUGAAGAACAGCUUCUGGCUCCACGUUGCCUUUCACUGUUACCUUCUGUUCUUUCAGAUCCACAUCAAAUGACUCCACACCUACCAAUACAAUAUUCGUUGUUUGUUUUGUUUACACAUAAAAAUCAAUGAGAUGAGAAAGCAAAUAUAUACAACCAUAAAUAAGAUAUAUGCAAAUUAAUGAAACCAGAGAGUUUGUAACAUAAUGCAAAGUUAUCUGAGACUAACCUUGCAUUUUGCCUAAGACUCUCUUCACAGCUCCCACGCAUCCCUCACAUGGCAUAGCCACCUUUAGAACCACAGUCUACUCGGGUAACGUACCCAAAAAAAAAAUUUGAAGUUAAAAUUCUGGAAAGAUUUAUCAAAGUGGAUUUGUCAAGAUGUAAAAGAAUCUUGAAACACUGUCCCGUUAAUUGCUUUGAAACACCAUGUCCUAAUCAAAUUCCUCAAAUCAUCUCACAGAAACAAACUACUUCCUCCAUACAAAAAAAAAAAAUCAGCUAGAUUGACCUAGACAAAGACAGAUCAACCCUUUUCAACAACAAUUUUACAUGAUUCAUGGUCUUAUAUGAUCCUUGCCAUCAUCACCAGUUUGAUAAAAUGGGAAACUACUGACACCAAUGUUUUUAAUAUAUUUAACUACAGAUCUCUCGCUGAACUGAUUCAUACAUCAUAAAACCAGAUUACAAAGCAUCAACAAACCAUAACUCAAACCAAAGUCAGAUUCAAGUACCUGAGACAUACUUAAAAAUAAAUAAAAAAGUACCUGAGACAUAUUUCUUCUCUUUUUCCUUCCUAUAUGUAAAAGUUUCAACCACAGCGGAGAAAAUUUUGUAAAAGAAAAGAGAUGCUUCUGGAGCUUUUUAAACGAAUGCAGCUUUGACCAAUUCAACGAAUAUAUUCUUAGCUUUUUUUUUCCAUUGUGAGGUCACCCGAAGAUAUUCUUAUUUAAUCAAAUCAUACUAGACCAACUAUUCAACAAAAAAAAAAUAACGGAUGCAUGACCUUGAUGGACGGGUAACUAGAAAACAUCAAAGCCACUGAAUCCACGGCAGAUAAAAUUGUACGGCAGCAAAUUAUCGUAAUGUCAUCUUUCAAACACAUUUCAAAGUCUGAAACUUUACAAAAAAAAAAAAGAGAAUAUUUACAACGAGUUUUUUUUGGACAUGUUUGUUCAAUGUCAUUGCUAGUCCACGAAGCUCUGAUCCAGCGCGGAUCUCUCUUCGCCACCCGACCCGCCGAGAAUCCGACCCGAACGAUCUUCAGCUGCGAUAAAUUCACCGUCAACGCGGCCAAAUACGGCCCCGUGUGGAGGUCCCUGAGGAGGAACAUGGUCCAGAACAUGCUCUCCUCGACCCGCCUCAAGGAGUUCGGGUCGGUGAGACGAUCCGCCAUGGAUAAACUCAUCGAACGGAUCAAAUCGGAAGGUAAAGAGCACGACGGUUUAAUCUGGGUGCUUCGAAACGCGAGAUUCGCCGCGUUUUGCAUUCUGUUAGAGAUGUGUUUCGGAAUCGCGAUGGAUGAGGAGUCGAUCGAGAAGAUGGACGAGAUGAUGAAGACGGUCCUGAUGACGGUGGAUCCGCGAAUCGACGAUUACCUCCCGAUCCUCGCUCCCUUCUUCUCCAAAGAGAGGAGGCGAGCUCUCGAAGUCCGCCGCGAACAGGUCGAUCUCGUCGUGAGCCUCAUCGAGAAGCGACGGAGAGCGAUUCGGAAUAAAACGGCGCCGUCUUUCUCCUACCUCGACACGCUCUUCGAUCUAAAAGUCGAGGGACGCGAAACGGCGCCGUCUAACGAAGAGAUCGUGACUCUCUGCUCGGAGUUUCUCAACGGGGGAACGGACACGACGGGGACGGCGAUCGAGUGGGGGAUCGCGCAGCUGAUCGCGAACCCCGAGAUUCAAUCUCGGCUCUACGAUGAGAUUAGAUCGACGGCUGGAGAUCGUCGGAUCGAGGAGGGUGACGUGGAUAAAAUGGUCUUUUUGCAAGCGUUCGUUAAAGAGCUUCUCCGGAAACAUCCUCCGACUUAUUUCUCGCUGACGCACGCGGUCAUGGAAACGACGUCGCUUGGAGGUUACGAUGUUCCCGCGGGCGUUAACGUCGAGGUUUAUAUUCCCGGUAUAAGCGAGGACCCGAGGAUCUGGUCUAAUCCGAAAAAGUUUGAUCCGGACCGGUUUAUAUCGGGUAAGGAGGAUGCUGACAUAACCGGGAUCAGUGGAGUGAAGAUGAUUCCGUUUGGUGUUGGCCGUCGGAUCUGUCCUGGGCUUGGAAUGGCGACCGUACACGUGCACCUCAUGCUUGCGAGGAUGGUUCAAGAGUUUGAGUGGACCGCUUAUCCGACCGGAAGCGAGAUUGAUUUCGCCGGUAAAACGGAGUUCACGGUGGUGAUGAAGAAUCCAUUGAGAGCCAAGGUUAAACCAAGGGUUUAAUUUUUUUAAAUUAUCUAUUUUCACGUAUUUUAAUUUUAUCUUUGUAUUAUAAAUUUUCUAAUUAUCCAAUAAUCAUUUUGGUUACAAGAAGCUUCUGUUAAAAAUAUUUAAAUAACAAACUUAUGAUCUAAGAGAUUGAUUAAUACUAGUUGAUACUUGAUAGUUUAACCCAUUUACAAUCAUUUAAAUUUUUUAAUAAUCUUAGAAGCUUCCGUUAAAUAUAUUUAACUAAGAAAACUUAAGAUAAGCAUUGAUUAAUAAUAUUAGUUAUAUAUCAAAAAAAACUUCCAAAGGAAAAAAUAUUCUAAACCCAUUUACAAAUCCCUAGCGUAGAGAAACUAUAUAUACACAUAAGCAGAAGCUACAGAGACUAUUAUGCUUCAAAAAGAAGCAAGCCUUUUUAAUUCAAUCCAAGUAAGCUUGUUUAAUUUUCUGUCAUUACCAAAUAUUAUCAGUUCAAGAAAAGGGAUGCAUCAGCCACCUCGCCGCUUGAAUCAGCUACUACUUUCACGGCUUGUGCAAUCCUACGAGCCAGCAUGGCUUUGUAAACAGCCAAAUCUGCAUUCUCUGCAAGAACCUGAGCUCUUCUUCUUUUGGCCAUGGCAAUCUCCAUAGAUGUAUCAGCCCAGGCUUUGGCUUUUUCCACUCUAAGAAAAACGUUUUGUCCCUCCCAAGCUUCCAGUUUAGCCGCCUUUACAGACACUGUCCAAGUUAAACGGUCCACACAAAUUCAGAUCUCCUUCUCAAUAAAUGUUCUAAGCAAGAUUGUUCCAUGUAACUCUAAUAACUCUCAGGUGUAUAUACUAUUCAUCAUUUUAAGUACUUAGCAAAACCAAUUUAUCACAACACUAUCCACCACAAUCCAUGACAAAACAUAUAGGAACAUACCGAGACUUGAUUGUUUGGAUUUUCCAUGGAGUUGACUCCCCUGUCUCUUGAAAGACCUUCUCUUACGAAAUACAGGUUUGAAAAAUAGCGGAGUCUUCUUCGCUUGAUGACCCUGUUUACAUAACAAACAUAACUUUUGUAACACUGAUGGAAAAACAAAGAACACUGGUCUAAGUAUAUACAAGAACAUGACUCUUACCUGGAAAAUUCUGAGGAGUGGUGCUUUUCUCUGCUUCCUUUUCCUCGCCCAGUAAUCAUACACCGCUUCAACCACAUCUUGCCUACCCAAAUACGAAAGACUAGCUACACUAGCUGCUUUCUCAUCCAAGAGAUCAUCGGCAGGGUUACGGAAGUAGUACUUUUCAAACCCAUCAAUCAUCAGUUCAAAAGUAUCUUGAUGAAGUUGUUGAGACGACUUCUCAUCUUCUCCACCAAGCAUUGCCUCGUUCUGCCUCUCCAGCCACUCUUCAUCCUCAGAAUCCAUGUCAUAGAUGGCAGUGCUUCGAGCCAUGGCCCUUGAAACCUCAUCUUCUUUCACAGAUAUAUAUGGAACCGGCAUAGAAAAUGAAGGCAAAGCAUCAAUAUUCUCUGCAUAGCCACACACUUCUGUUACUCCAGGUAUAGGAAUGACUUUCGCACUCUGUUCCAACACAUUCCUUUCGUAGCACUCUUUAUAAAUCUCCUUGAAACCGAGCCAAUCUCGUCUCUCGCAAAACUCAAGCUUCCAACCAUUAUCCCCUACCCACACUACAGAAUGUGUGAACCUGUUGCACGAGCAAGGUCUCAUAGUCUUCCGCGCCUUGAGUUUGUAUCUGAUUUCCCCAUCCUUCUUGAUAACAACGAACCACUCCUUUGAAGAAACGAACUCCAACACGGCACUGAAACCUUCUUCUCUGGUGCAUCUGUCUGAACCCAAAACCAAAAUAUUCACAGAACAACGUAGAGAAUCAAGCUCCUCUUUUGUCAACGGUUUUGGAACGACACUAAUCUCGUUUGAGUUGUUUAGCACCGAGCUUCUAAGCCUUCUCGUAGAUACUGCUGCUGCUGAUGUCCUGUUUCUCCAUGAUAAUUCGAAAACAGACGUUCCAUUGUACAACUUGUGUCCACUGUGAGCAAGGUUCCUCACUCUUCUCCUCCUUAAGGAUCUUCUCCUCUUCUGGAUACUGUGAAACCCUAAAUUGCCUCUAUACUGAGCAUUAGAGCCUCUCCUCGGAUUACAAGGUGGAGAUGAAACUAACUCAGACUCUGAAUCAGUUUCUUCAACAACUGGAUUGUUUAGCAAAUAAAGAGAUCUCCUCACGAAAGCAAAGGAGCGUUGCGCAUCUCUGAGAAACAGAGUCAAAUGCAUAUCCAUGAAAAAUCGAGG
This 6587-nucleotide long non-coding RNA is filed under the name Brassica napus (rape). Its description in RNAcentral is "long non-coding RNA (BNAP_LNC001956)". The record is from RNAcentral. Lineage: Eukaryota; Viridiplantae; Streptophyta; Magnoliopsida; Brassicales; Brassicaceae.